AUGAAGACUGCUAGAUGAGACGGGAUCUCACUGUGUUGCCCAGGCUGGUCUCGAACUGCUGGACUCAAGUCAUCCUCCCAUCUUGGCCUCCCAAAGUGCUGGAAUUACAGUGGACAACCUUCAAUGCACUGGUACUUUGUACCCUGACCUCUACUGUGAUGAACACUCAACUUGGGCAAGGAAGUGAAAUUCUCCAAAGUGGGUUCUGACCCAAUCAGCAGCCUUUGCUUCUCAGAUUCCUCUCAAGGCUUUAUGACUCUUCUCACCCCAGGAAACCCUACAACACGCACGGCCUUUCAGAACUGCUACAUGGAAUGGACAUUCCUCUGGGCUCCAGCUGAAUGUUUGUAAAUAAAAUAAUGACUGCGUGUCCUUAUUUUUGCUGAGUACACAGGGCCUUUCCUCACAUUACAACCUUCACUUUCUCCCUGCUUCUUCACCUGCACUGUAUUUUUGCUUAGCAAGGAGGAGGGUGCUCUGAAUAGAUGGACCCUGAUUCUACUUACAAAACUGUGGGAAGAAACCGGAGCUUCCUCCCUCUCUGAGACAACGGUGCCACUGAGACUGCGUGAGAUGCGACGUAAAUUCUCUGCACUGUACUGCUCAUCCUCCCCACACUCCCUGCUGAGGCCUCGGCAAGGUGUAGCCUUCAAACACACAGACACAUACAGGCAGACACAUAAUACCAGACUUAUGGUUUUCCCACAGACAGUAUCCUCAGGGUAUGGGAAAGAGUAGGGGAAGACUCAGUAGUAAUAGACACCUGAAUUAGAUGUAUUGGUAAGAUAGUGGCCAUGUAACAAUCUCCUCUAAUUCAAAAGAAGCCCAAUCAUAGACCUUAUUUUCUUCUGAUAGCCCCAUAUCACCAUGCCUCUGCCUUAUCAUCAUCCCUGUCACAUCUCUCCAUAAUUCCUUCCCCAACACACCACCCCAGGCCCAGCACCUUAGCACCUGAGGCUGCUACCUGAGAAGUACGCACUGUUCUGGCUUCAUGGAGACCAUGCUCCAUUUCUGCUGUUGAAGUCUUUGAGAGACCAGGAUCAUGGGCUGAGUGCAACCUCCUCCCCAUGCCAUCUGCAGAGCCUGAAGAGGAAAACACAAAUACAAGUUGAGGCCAUCUCUUCCCCUAGGGCCUAACCUCUAAGCCUAGCAGCACAAACUCAGGAGCUGUUGUUUCAUUUAAUAAUAAAUAUGCAUCCUUGAAUUCAACGGAGGAACAUGCUCCUGGAAUUUAGAAGCAAGAGGGGCUGGGCGCGGUGGCUCACACCUGUAAUCCCAGCACUUUGGGAGGCCAACACGGGCAGAUCACGAGGUCAGGAGAUCGAGACCACCCUGGCUAACAUGGUAAAACCCUGUCUCUACUAAAAAUACAAAAAAUUAGCCGGGCGUGGUGGCAGGCACCUGUAAUCCCAGCUACUCGGGAGGCUGAGGCAGGAGAAUGGCGUGAACCCGGGAGGCGUAGCUUGCAGUGAGCGGAGAUCACGCCACUGCACUCCAGCCCGGGUGACAGAGCGAGACUCCGUCUCAAAAAAAAAAAGAAACAAGAAUUUUAGAAUAUAGAUAGUUUACUGAGUGUCCCCAUCUUGCUUCAUUUCAUUUUUGUAAACAUAAUCAGCUUCUGUCAGACUUAGGCUCAAGACUUAUAGACAGAGGAAAGUAUCUAACACAGUGAGUUUUGUUUUCUAACACAGUGAUUUUCUAAAGUAUCUGUGGUGACAAAGGAAAUUAUCUCCAGUCUAGUUCAGAAUAGAAAUGAUCAUAAUAAUCAUCUAUCAAACCUCCUCAUUUUAUAUAACAGGAAAAUGAGUUCCAGGGUCUGAGAGUUUAGUAGUUUAACCAGGAUUAAAAUUAAAUCCUCUUGAUUUUCAGUACAGUACUCUUACCAUCUCACCUGGUGACCUCUUUUACUCUGAGAGCAGGAGCUCCUCAGGAAUGUUUUACAUAUGUAAUGCUCUUUUCCCCUUAGCUUCUCUCAAAUCAUUUAAAUUUCUAAACAACCACUAAAUGCUUACCUCUUUUCAAAAUCUUUCUAGAUUGUUCAGUUGCUCUAAACUGGAUUGGUGACUCCCAAGGGGCUAUCCCCAAUCCAACUAAUUAAGUUUUCCAUUCCAAAACUGUAUAUGCCCCUGACCUACAUUUGAUACAUAUGUCCAUGGCCAAUUCAUGUCUUGAUUUGAUGAUUUGAUUCUAAUAUAUAUAUAUAUAUCUGGCUGAAGCUGAUAUUAUUCAUGUAAGUAUUGUAAGACCAGUUAUUUUCAGUAUUCCUGGGUACUUAAAUGCAGUGCUUUCAAUACCACCUCAGAUUCAUCUGGGAACUUUUAAAAAUAUAGCUUCCUGGAUGUUACCACAGAGCUGAAUCAGAAGGUUUGUGGUUGGUGCCUGGGAAUUUUCAUUUUUGAAAGGUUCCCAAAAAGUCUAAGAAAAUAUCCUUGAACAUUAUUGGGGGAAAUGGGAAAUGUUACAGUCUUCCUAAAAAACAACCUGGUAAUCUCCAAUAAAAUAAAAAAUAUAUUUAUCCUGUUGCCCAACGAUUCUAAUCCUGAGAAGAAGAAGAAAAAAAUACCAGUUCAUAACAACAUAUAUAUGAGAAUAUUUUCUACUGACAUAAUUUAUAGUAGCCAAGAACUAGAAAUAAAGUAAUGCCCACCUAUAGAAGAAUAAAUACAUUAUGGUUUAAUACCAGAUAUUGUCCAGCCACUUAAAAAGAUUGAACUGAGUUAAACUAGAUGAUUUGAAGAAAUUUUAAUGAAACAUUGUUGCAUUAAAAGGAAAAAAAUCUGUAAAAUGAUAGACAAGCAUUUGUUUAUGUAUAUGUAGGUCUACAUAGGAUUGUAUAAACAGAAAAUACAGUGUAUGCACACUAGAUAAUUACCUGGGGAAGUAGGGACUGGCUGUGAGAGAAGAGACAGGAAAAUUGUCUAUAAUAAAAACAGCAUGUGUGUUAUGUUCUUAUUUCUAUAAAAUU
Molecule: long non-coding RNA, 2965 nt
Filed under: Homo sapiens (human)
Lineage: Eukaryota; Metazoa; Chordata; Mammalia; Primates; Hominidae
Description: HSALNT0358446
Source: RNAcentral